UAACACGUGGGGAACCUGCCCCAUAGUCUGGGAUACCACUUGGAAACAGGUGCUAAUACCGGAUAAGAAAGCGGAUCGCAUGAUCAGCUUUUAAAAGGCGGCGUAAGCUGUCGCUAUGGGAUGGCCCCGCGGUGCAUUAGCUAGUUGGUAAGGUAAAGGCUUACCAAGGCGAUGAUGCAUAGCCGAGUUGAGAGACUGAUCGGCCACAUUGGGACUGAGACACGGCCCAAACUCCUACGGGAGGCAGCAGCU
This 252-nucleotide ribosomal RNA is filed under the name uncultured Lactobacillus sp. RNAcentral describes it as "partial 16S ribosomal RNA". It matches the Rfam family "Bacterial small subunit ribosomal RNA", at positions 111 to 355 of the family's 1533-position model. The record is from RNAcentral. Lineage: Bacteria; Bacillati; Bacillota; Bacilli; Lactobacillales; Lactobacillaceae.